UGGGGAAUAUUGGACAAUGGGCGCAAGCCUGAUCCAGCCAUGCCGCGUGUGUGAAGAAGGCCUUUUGGUUGUAAAGCACUUUAAGCGAGGAGGAGGCUACUUGGAUUAAUACUCUAGGAUAGUGGACGUUACUCGCAGAAUAAGCACCGGCUAACUCUGUGCCAGCAGCCGCGGUAAUACAGAGGGUGCGAGCGUUAAUCGGAUUUACUGGGCGUAAAGCGUGCGUAGGCGGCUUUUUAAGUCGGAUGUGAAAUCCCUGAGCUUAACUUAGGAAUUGCAUUCGAUACUGGGAAGCUAGAGUAUGGGAGAGGAUGGUAGAAUUCCAGGUGUAGCGGUGAAAUGCGUAGAGAUCUGGAGGAAUACCGACGGCGAAGGCAGCCAUCUGGCCUAAUACUGACGCUGAGGUACGAAAGCAUGGGGAGCAAACAGG
Molecule: ribosomal RNA, 430 nt
Filed under: bacterium
Lineage: Bacteria
Description: partial 16S ribosomal RNA
Rfam family: Bacterial small subunit ribosomal RNA
Source: RNAcentral